This 302-nucleotide long non-coding RNA is filed under the name Panax ginseng (ginseng). RNAcentral describes it as "long non-coding RNA (PGIN_LNC012996)". Lineage: Eukaryota; Viridiplantae; Streptophyta; Magnoliopsida; Apiales; Araliaceae. The record is from RNAcentral.
CAUUAUGACGAAGGUUGAUUUAGUCCAGAAAUUAAAAGGAGAAAAAGAUAAAUUUUAGUGCAGUUGGUAUCCAAAUAUUUAUACAAAGGUAACCAUUUUAGUUUUUGUGGGUAACCAAGAGAAAUUUCAGUGCAGUUGGUAACCAAAACUUUCAAAGGUAACAAUUUUAGUUUUUGUUGGUUACAUUUGUAUUAAGGUUUGGCUACCAACUGCACUAUGAAAAAAAAAUCUAUAAUAGAUUUUUUAUAAUUAAUUGGUAACCCAAUAAAACUGAAUUGGUUACCUUUGUAUUAAGGUUUGGC